GCCAGACUCCUACGGGAGGCAGCAGUGAGGAAUAUUGGUCAAUGGGCGAGAGCCUGAACCAGCCAAGUCGCGUGAGGGAAGACGGUCCUACGGAUUGUAAACCUCUUUUGUCAGGGAGCAAGGAGCGCCACGAGUGGUGCGGCGAGAGUACCUGAAGAAAAAGCAUCGGCUAACUCCGUGCCAGCAGCCGCGGUAAUACGGAGGAUGCGAGCGUUAUCCGGAUUUAUUGGGUUUAAAGGGUGCGUAGGCGGGCAUUUAAGCCGGCGGUCAAAUGUCGGGGCUCAACCCCGGCCUGCCGUCGGAACUGGGUGCCUUGAGUGGGCGAGAAGUAUGCGGAAUGCGUGGUGUAGCGGUGAAAUGCAUAGAUAUCACGCAGAACCCCGAUUGCGAAGGCAGCAUACCGGCGCCCUACUGACGCUGAGGCACGAAAGUGCGGGUAUCGAACAGGAUUAGAUACCCCCGUAAA
This 466-nucleotide ribosomal RNA is filed under the name uncultured bacterium. RNAcentral describes it as "bacterial SSU rRNA". It matches the Rfam family "Bacterial small subunit ribosomal RNA", at positions 330 to 794 of the family's 1533-position model. The record is from RNAcentral.